This 501-nucleotide ribosomal RNA is filed under the name uncultured bacterium. RNAcentral's name for it is "partial 16S ribosomal RNA". It matches the Rfam family "Bacterial small subunit ribosomal RNA", at positions 29 to 523 of the family's 1533-position model. The record is from RNAcentral.
AUUGAACGCUGGCGGCAUGCCUUACACAUGCAAGUCGAACGGCAGCACGGGUGCUUGCACCUGGUGGCGAGUGGCGAACGGGUGAGUAAUACAUCGGAACGUACCUUAUCGUGGGGGAUAACGCAGCGAAAGCUGUGCUAAUACCGCAUACGCCCUGAGGGGGAAAGCGGGGGACCGAAAGACCUCGCGCGAUUAGAGCGGCCGAUGCCUGAUUAGCUUGUUGGUGGGGUGAAAGCACACCAAGGCGACGAUCAGUAGCUGGUCUGAGAGGACGAUCAGCCACACUGGGACUGAGACACGGCCCAGACUCCUACGGGAGGCAGCAGUGGGGAAUUUUGGACAAUGGGGGCAACCCUGAUCCAGCAAUGCCGCGUGAGUGAAGAAGGCCUUCGGGUUGUAAAGCUCUUUUGUCAGGGAAGAAGCACCGGCUCUAACACAGUCUGGGAAUGACGGUACCUGAAGAAUAAGCACCGGCUAACUACGUGCCAGCCGCCGCUGUAA